GGAAUAGAAAACAACAGAGAUAAGGUCUCCUAGCAGCACAGUCUCAGCUCAGGGCUCUGGGGAUGGGCCUCCCCUCCUGCCGGAGAGGCCAUCCCAGGAGGCUGACUGCUCACACCUGGGCAGCAUUCCUGGCUUCAUCCCCUCCUGUCUGAGUCUUGGCUCUAUUCACUCUCCCCAGAUGCUCCACCAGAAUGAAGGGAAGGCCCUGGAAGGCCUUGAACCCUGCCACCUCCGCCCCUCCUGGGAUAAGGUUCCAACACCCCACGGAUGGGCCCAGGGCCCCCCUGCAACUUCUCCACCGCCGCCCACCGGUGCAACGUGGGUGGCCUACCGGCUGCAGUGAUCAUCAUCCCAACCCUGCUCUCCUCGUCGUCUCUCCUGAUCAUCAGCUUCAUCUUAUGGAAAACUUGCCGCCGGUUGUCCCGGGUCACCCAGCCCCGCCUGCCAUCCACAUGAGGGGCCCAGGAAUCUGAAUUGUGGAAUGUGACACCCAGAAAUGGAGCUGAGUUAUAUUAAUGCCUGGGAACCUCUGCUGCUGAGGCCCCUGGAGCUACCCUGCUCCUUUCAAAGACCCAUUCAUCAAUAAUCCUUUUGAUUCUGAAAGUCCUUGCAAUCAAUUCCCCAAACUUUUAAUUUUCAUUUCUUUCAGAAUCAGUUUGUUACUUUUAAAGAAAAAACUUUGAAAUUAACAGUGAAGACAGAUGAAGCUGGUGGGGUAUACAGUCAGCAUGGUCCAGUGUAUGUAUAAUAGGACCCACAUAUGUAAUUUUGCAUUUUCUAGUAGCCACAUUUUAAAAAUUGAAGUUAAUGAAAUUAAUAUUAACAAUGUUUCAUUUCACCCAAUAUAGAUAAGUAUUAUAUUUCAGUAUCUAGUCAAAAUGUUUAAAUUGCUAAUGAGAUGUUUUACAUUCUUCUCUUUGAACCAUGUCUUUGAAAUGUGGGGUGUAUUUUACACAUAUAGCAUAUCUCAAAUAAGACUGGCCACACUUUGAGUGCUCCAUAGCCACAUGAGGCUGGUCGCUUGCAUAAUGGAUAGCACAGAUUAAGAUAUUCAAGGUGAUGAAGGAUCUGCUAAGAAGUCCUGGCCUCAUUCUAAAGAGAUUCAUCCCCAGAAGAGAUUCAAAUCUAGAAGUAACAUGAUAAAAUAUAUAUAUAACUUUAGGAAGAUCACUCUGACUUCCACUUAUAGAAUGGACAGGAAAGGAACUGAAGCUUGAGUUAGGGAGAUCAGUUAGGAGGAGCUGAAGAGAGAAUGAGAGGUAAAGAUGUUGAUGAUAGACUUUGGUGGCAGCAGCUGAAAUAUUAAGAUGCAGUCCUUCCCAUCACUCCAUCUCACAUAUCUUCCCCUAUUCUCUCUGGCAACCAAAGAGGCAAAUCUAUGAUCUUUAAGGCAUAGUCCCUGGCAGUUAUGCCCACAAAGCGGUCCACAAUAGGAGAUCAAUCAACAGAUGUGUCUUUCCUCCCUCAAUGAAAUGUCCUCUGAAUGCUCCUGCCCGCACCUAACUGCUGAUACUGAAAUUUGAAAGACAGGAAUAUUGGCCCAAUCUAUGGUAAACUGGAGAUCCUGUCCUAGGAAUUUUCCAGCAACUCUAAGAAGAGCUUUCUGCUGCAUGGGUGAAGGUGGAAAGUUAUAUUUAACCAGAGUUGUGGUUUUGCUUAGAGAGUAUACAUACAACAAAUUAAAAAGAGGCAAGGAAGUAGUGGGUGAAUACAAGGGAAUGAUAAUAAAAAUAACUAUGGAAUUUAAGCCAGCAUGGGAAUAUUUAAGAGAUAUUCAUAAAAAUUCCAGUUCUCCAACCCCACCCCCUGCUUCUGGACCCUGGGAAGAAAUGCACUUUUCUGUCCAUUUGAGGCUAGGUGUGGCCAUGUGACUAGUUCUGGCCAAUUAGAUUACAGACUCUAGAUGGAGCAUUUAAUUGCCAAGACCCUCCAGUUUCUCUUUUCCCUCUCAUAUACUGACCAAUGUUAUUUGAAAUGGUGGCUUUUCCAUCAGCCUGGGUUUCUCACUAUGAAAAGCAGAGUCCUCUGUUUGUUGACCGACAAUGUUCAAGUUGUGUGAGCAGGAAAUAAAUCUUUCUUCACUAUAUUAAAGCUUAAAAUGCAAGCCUUAAAUAUAAACCUGAAAUAUUGGGAUUGUUUUUUACUACAGCACCACAUAGCCUAGCCUGACUGAUAUAACCAGAAGAGAGGACAUUAAUAGGGAGGGAGAAAAUGAAAAAUGUAAGAUUAAUAGAUUUCAGUUCCUGGCACUGAAGAUUGAUGAAGUCCC
This is a long non-coding RNA of Bos taurus (domestic cattle), 2269 nucleotides long. The record is from Ensembl. NCBI's taxonomy places the organism in Eukaryota, Metazoa, Chordata, Mammalia, Artiodactyla, Bovidae.